AACCCGGCCAGCUAGCCCUUCCCACGCCCAGCAGUGCUGCAGAAAGAUGUAAUAUGCGCGCAAGCGAUAUAGCGCGAGAGAUUAAUUUUCUCCUCCCCACCCCUCCGCCGUGCAAUGCCGAGGUGCAAGAGGGAACCCCCUCAGCCUGCGCGGUGGGCGACUGUUUGUUGGUUGUUGAAAGGAGGAUUUCCUCGCCCGCUUCGCAAUAUCGCCUACUACCUCUUAGGGGAGGGGGUAGAUUGGCGAGUGGGGGGAACUAGCGAGCCUCUAAGGCACGUCGAUCCUCGGGAACUCUGCCCGCGAUGAGAUCGAGGGAAGGGGCGACGAUCCUGCGGGCGCCUUUUCCUGGGAAGGAGGCUCUGCUGAACUCUGGAAAUCGAAGGGGGGGUCUUUUACUUUGGAGGAAACACGCGCAGGAAAAGGGCUUGAGAACCACGUGGGCGCGCAGCCUGCGCUCGUGACUGCGCGGCUGACCUGUGCCACUCGCGGGUGGACUGGGCUGGCGUACACCCGAGGAAACGUUCCUGGCGAGAUCUGCACACACAAGAGCCACGAAGGCGGCGGAGUUUCGAGGUUUCCAGCCGCAGGACCGCGCGGGCUUACAGGUGGAUCCAUCUAUCUCCCUCUCCGGCUUCUCGAUCUCUCCCUUUCCUCCUCUCUUUUCGCAAUCCUGGGGAAAGAAUUCCUGGUUUCUUGGAGAGGGGGAGAAACACUGCGCCGGAAAAGCUUCGUUCUUCGAGCCCAGUGUUUCCCAAACUUAUUGGAGCUGAGUUAACUGCUACCCCACUCCGACCGAGAAACAGGAGCACUCUUUGCAUCAGCGGAGGAAAAGAGGUUUUAUUUUAGAAA
This is a long non-coding RNA of Podarcis raffonei (Aeolian wall lizard), 849 nucleotides long. RefSeq lists it as uncharacterized. NCBI's taxonomy places the organism in Eukaryota, Metazoa, Chordata, Lepidosauria, Squamata, Lacertidae. The record is from RefSeq and is a predicted model, not a curated record. The transcript is spliced from 2 exons.